UGAACGCUGGCGGCAGGCCUAACACAUGCAAGUCGAACGGUAACAGGAUAGCUUGCUAUCGCUGACGAGUGGCGGACGGGUGAGUAAUACUUAGGGAUCUGCCUCUGUGUGGGGGAUAACUAUUGGAAACGAUAGCUAAUACCGCAUAAUGUCUCCGGACCAAAGAGGGCUUUUAGCUCUCGCGCAGAGAGGAACCUAAGCGAGAUUAGCUAGUUGGUGAGGUAAAGGCUCACCAAGGCGACGAUCUCUAGCUGUUCUGAGAGGAAGAUCAGCCACACUGGAACUGAGACACGGUCCAGACUCCUACGGGAGGCAGCAGUGGGGAAUAUUGCACAAUGGGGGAAACCCUGAUGCAGCCAUGCCGCGUGUGUGAAGAAGGCCUUCGGGUUGUAAAGCACUUUCAGUUGUGAGGAAAGUUUAGUAGUUAAUACCUGCUAGAUGUGACGUUAGCAACAGAAGAAGCACCGGCUAACUCCGUGC
Molecule: ribosomal RNA, 480 nt
Filed under: gamma proteobacterium MED23
Lineage: Bacteria; Pseudomonadati; Pseudomonadota; Gammaproteobacteria
Description: bacterial SSU rRNA
Rfam family: Bacterial small subunit ribosomal RNA
Source: RNAcentral